GGGGAUAUAGCUCAGUUGGUAGAGGGCUUCUCAUGCCCAAGGCCCUGGGUUCAAUCCCCAGUAUCACACA
RNAcentral lists this transfer RNA (70 nucleotides) under Marmota monax (woodchuck). RNAcentral describes it as "tRNA.His". Lineage: Eukaryota; Metazoa; Chordata; Mammalia; Rodentia; Sciuridae. The record is from RNAcentral.